Molecule: ribosomal RNA, 1852 nt
Filed under: Drosophila melanogaster (fruit fly)
Lineage: Eukaryota; Metazoa; Arthropoda; Insecta; Diptera; Drosophilidae
Description: eukaryotic LSU rRNA
Rfam family: Eukaryotic large subunit ribosomal RNA
Source: RNAcentral
AGAACUCUGAAUAGAGAGUUAAACAGUACGUGAAACUGCUUAGAGGUUAAGCCCGAUGAACCUGAAUAUCCGUUAUGGAAAAUUCAUCAUUAAAAUUGUAAUAUUUAAAUAAUAUUAUGAGAAUAGUGUGCAUUUUUUCCAUAUAAGGACAUUGUAAUCUAUUAGCAUAUACCAAAUUUAUCAUAAAAUAUAACUUAUAGUUUAUUCCAAUUAAAUUGCUUGCAUUUUAACACAGAAUAAAUGUUAUUAAUUUGAUAAAGUGCUGAUAGAUUUAUAUGAUUACAGUGCGUUAAUUUUUCGGAAUUAUAUAAUGGCAUAAUUAUCAUUGAUUUUUGUGUUUAUUAUAUGCACUUGUAUGAUUAACAAUGCGAAAGAUUCAGGAUACCUUCGGGACCCGUCUUGAAACACGGACCAAGGAGUCUAACAUAUGUGCAAGUUAUUGGGAUAUAAACCUAAUAGCGUAAUUAACUUGACUAAUAAUGGGAUUAGUUUUUUAGCUAUUUAUAGCUAAUUAACACAAUCCCGGGGCGUUCUAUAUAGUUAUGUAUAAUGUAUAUUUAUAUUAUUUAUGCCUCUAACUGGAACGUACCUUGAGCAUAUAUGCUGUGACCCGAAAGAUGGUGAACUAUACUUGAUCAGGUUGAAGUCAGGGGAAACCCUGAUGGAAGACCGAAACAGUUCUGACGUGCAAAUCGAUUGUCAGAAUUGAGUAUAGGGGCGAAAGACCAAUCGAACCAUCUAGUAGCUGGUUCCUUCCGAAGUUUCCCUCAGGAUAGCUGGUGCAUUUUAAUAUUAUAUAAAAUAAUCUUAUCUGGUAAAGCGAAUGAUUAGAGGCCUUAGGGUCGAAACGAUCUUAACCUAUUCUCAAACUUUAAAUGGGUAAGAACCUUAACUUUCUUGAUAUGAAGUUCAAGGUUAUGAUAUAAUGUGCCCAGUGGGCCACUUUUGGUAAGCAGAACUGGCGCUGUGGGAUGAACCAAACGUAAUGUUACGGUGCCCAAAUUAACAACUCAUGCAGAUACCAUGAAAGGCGUUGGUUGCUUAAAACAGCAGGACGGUGAUCAUGGAAGUCGAAAUCCGCUAAGGAGUGUGUAACAACUCACCUGCCGAAGCAACUAGCCCUUAAAAUGGAUGGCGCUUAAGUUGUAUACCUAUACAUUACCGCUAAAGUAGAUGAUUUAUAUUACUUGUGAUAUAAAUUUUGAAACUUUAGUGAGUAGGAAGGUACAAUGGUAUGCGUAGAAGUGUUUGGCGUAAGCCUGCAUGGAGCUGCCAUUGGUACAGAUCUUGGUGGUAGUAGCAAAUAAUCGAAUGAGACCUUGGAGGACUGAAGUGGAGAAGGGUUUCGUGUGAACAGUGGUUGAUCACGAGUUAGUCGGUCCUAAGUUCAAGGCGAAAGCCGAAAAUUUUCAAGUAAAACAAAAAUGCCUAACUAUAUAAACAAAGCGAAUUAUAAUACACUUGAAUAAUUUUGAACGAAAGGGAAUACGGUUCCAAUUCCGUAACCUGUUGAGUAUCCGUUUGUUAUUAAAUAUGGGCCUCGUGCUCAUCCUGGCAACAGGAACGACCAUAAAGAAGCCGUCGAGAGAUAUCGGAAGAGUUUUCUUUUCUGUUUUAUAGCCGUACUACCAUGGAAGUCUUUCGCAGAGAGAUAUGGUAGAUGGGCUAGAAGAGCAUGACAUAUACUGUUGUGUCGAUAUUUUCUCCUCGGACCUUGAAAAUUUAUGGUGGGGACACGCAAACUUCUCAACAGGCCGUACCAAUAUCCGCAGCUGGUCUCCAAGGUGAAGAGUCUCUAGUCGAUAGAAUAAUGUAGGUAAGGGAAGUCGGCAAAUUAGAUCCGUAACUUCGG